GGCCGCUCGACGCGGCCGUGAUGGCCGGACGAAGCGCGCUCACGACCUGCAAGAGCUCGCCACGGAAUCCCCACAUCCACGCUGCCGCCCAGGAAUACCUAUCGCCAUCCAAAGGUGUUCCUUGCAAGAGUGCAAACCAGCCCGUGAGUUCACUGCGGCGGAAUGCUAUGGCAGCUGGUGGGCAUCGUCUUCAAUUCCGUGGGCUUUGGGAAUAAGUGGAUGUGCAGCUGGCUAUGAGGUAGUCAUGGCCGCCGGAUCUGGCUGGCAGUGGCGGCCUUCUUCUUCGACUCGGCAGGUUUAGGGAAUAAGUGGAUGUGCAGCUGGCUAGAAGGUAGUCAUGGCCGCUGGAUCCAGCCAUCUGGCAGCUGUGGCCCUCUUCUUCGAAUUGGCGGGUUUAGGCAGGGGAGGUUGUUGCAGGCUUGGUCUUGUGCGGCUCUGGCCGGUCCACCGCGUCCCUCGCUGACUACAUUUGACUAGCUACUGCUAUCACGAGACUUGAUGGCAUUCCCUCUGUAGUAAUGGACAGAAGAUCAAGACUUGAGUUAAGCAGCUUAAUUAGGACCCGGAAACAGGUAGCGGUGGCCUUUUUGUAUGCCUCUGUGUUUAGGUGAGUUAAUUUGUGGUUCACCCAUUGUAUCGUAUACGUGCUCCAUGGCCAUUGAGCAGCCUGUGACAUGCUAAAUGGUAGUGAUGACUAGGUUUUGGCUAUAAUACAGAUGAGUUGUGCUUGCACGUUUUUUUUUUUUUUUUUUUUUUGCGGGUAGUGCUUGCGCUCUUGAUAUUUGGUAUUCUGAGUGGUUUGAUUGUUGAAUUAUAUACCUGCUGCUGGUGGUACGUACUAGUCAACUUAUUGAUUUCCAGUAAGAUACAUUAAUGGUGGGCUGUUGAAUUUUUGUACCAAAGGAAUAUACUUUCAAUGGUAGAUUACUUUUACCGGCCUGA
Long non-coding RNA from Lolium rigidum, 942 nucleotides. RefSeq lists it as uncharacterized. The transcript has 5 exons. The record is from RefSeq and is a predicted model, not a curated record. NCBI's taxonomy places the organism in Eukaryota, Viridiplantae, Streptophyta, Magnoliopsida, Poales, Poaceae.